RNAcentral lists this microRNA precursor (60 nucleotides) under Monodelphis domestica (gray short-tailed opossum). RNAcentral describes it as "Mdo-Mir-7371-P19-v2_pre stem-loop". It matches the Rfam family "mir-7386 microRNA precursor family". Lineage: Eukaryota; Metazoa; Chordata; Mammalia; Didelphimorphia; Didelphidae. The record is from RNAcentral.
CACUUGGAUAAAGUGCUUUAUUUUGUAAAUUACACCUAAAUAAGGACUUUAUCCAUGGAA